Molecule: non-coding RNA, 110 nt
Organism: Acanthosepion pharaonis
Lineage: Eukaryota; Metazoa; Mollusca; Cephalopoda; Sepiida; Sepiidae
Source: the annotation of a GenBank genome assembly
CGACUACAUUACAUUGAUACACCGGUUCCCGGAUGAUCACCGAAGUUAAACAAUGUCGAGCCUGUUCAGUAUCUAGAUGGUUAACCGUUUGGGAAUACCACGUGCUGUAA